This is a long non-coding RNA of Setaria italica (foxtail millet), 570 nucleotides long. RefSeq lists it as uncharacterized. The record is from RefSeq and is a predicted model, not a curated record. The transcript has 2 exons. NCBI's taxonomy places the organism in Eukaryota, Viridiplantae, Streptophyta, Magnoliopsida, Poales, Poaceae.
UGCGCAUCCGUCCCACGGAGCUGAGCGGCUCGAGAGAGGCAGCAAGCCUUAGGUGAGAAGAGAGAACGGAGAAGUGAGAUGGAGAAGCGGCCUCUUGGCAUGGCGGUGUUCCUGAUGGCCUUCCUUGUCAUCUCCGGCAUGCACACUGCCCCAGCCCAGGCAGCAGGACGGAUUAUCAGCCGCGGGUCGAUGAACCCAAACAUUCCCCACGAUUCUCCGCUGGACCCGAACAAGGCCGGCGAUCCGUACCCCGGUCGUGGCCGUGCGUGCACAAGUAUCUACCACUGCCAUGGUGCAGCAGAGCCAUGAGCGUGAAGAAUGAGCCUUGGAACUUGAAGAAAGAAUAACGCUGGAACAGCUUUGUCUCCCGAGAUCAUCCUCGGUUGAAAUAGAACAAGACAGCCAGGAAACGUAUCCUAGUCGUGUAUCAAGUGAAUGAUGUUCUAGUCGUGUAGUAUCUACUUGUGUAUGUUUGCUGUGUGCAUGUGCUGAAAUCCGGUGAUCCAGGCAAAUUAUCAAGUUCCAGUGAAACAAGUGAACGUGCUGUAAAAUUAAAGCUUUCAAAUUUCA